GACAGAGGUGCCGAGCGUUAGGCGGAAUCACUGGGCUUAAAGCGUGUGUAGGUGGAUGUCUAAGUACCUUGUGAAAUCCCACGGCUUAACCGUGGAACGGCUCGGUAUACUGGAUGUCUUGAGCCAGCUAGGGGCUACCGGAACAAAUGGUGGAGCGGUGAAAUGCGUAGAUAUCAGGAGGAACACCGGUGGCGAAGGCGGCUUGCUGGGCCUUACCUGACGCUGAGGAGCGAAAGCGUGGGGAGCGAACAGG
RNAcentral lists this ribosomal RNA (253 nucleotides) under uncultured bacterium. RNAcentral's name for it is "partial 16S ribosomal RNA". It matches the Rfam family "Bacterial small subunit ribosomal RNA", at positions 524 to 776 of the family's 1533-position model. The record is from RNAcentral.